AGGUGAGAUGGCAGAGCGGUAAUGCAUUUCGCUGUAAACGGAGUAAGGGAAUACCCGAUCGAGAGUUCAAACCUCUCUCUCACUA
Molecule: transfer RNA, 85 nt
Filed under: Baikalospongia bacillifera
Lineage: Eukaryota; Metazoa; Porifera; Demospongiae; Spongillida; Lubomirskiidae
Description: tRNA-Tyr
Rfam family: tRNA
About the family: Transfer RNA (tRNA) molecules are approximately 80 nucleotides in length. Their secondary structure includes four short double-helical elements and three loops (D, anti-codon, and T loops).
Source: RNAcentral